Molecule: ribosomal RNA, 253 nt
Filed under: uncultured bacterium
Lineage: Bacteria
Description: partial 16S ribosomal RNA
Rfam family: Bacterial small subunit ribosomal RNA
Source: RNAcentral
UACGUAGGGUGCGAGCGUUGUUCGGAAUUACUGGGCGUAAAGGGCGCGUAGGCGGCCUUCUAAGUCGAACGUGAAAUCCCCGGGCUCAACCCGGGAACUGCGUCCGAUACUGGAAGGCUUGAAUCCGGGAGAGGGAUGCGGAAUUCCAGGUGUAGCGGUGAAAUGCGUAGAUAUCUGGAGGAACACCGGUGGCGAAGGCGGCAUCCUGGACCGACAUUGACGCUGAACGGCGAAAGCUAGGGGAGCAAACGGG